Molecule: transfer RNA, 131 nt
Filed under: Bradyrhizobium yuanmingense
Lineage: Bacteria; Pseudomonadati; Pseudomonadota; Alphaproteobacteria; Hyphomicrobiales; Nitrobacteraceae
Description: tRNA-Ile
Rfam family: tRNA (bases 1-74)
About the family: Transfer RNA (tRNA) molecules are approximately 80 nucleotides in length.
Source: RNAcentral
GGGCUUGUAGCUCAGUUGGUUAGAGCGCGCGCUUGAUAAGCGUGAGGUCGGAAGUUCAAGUCUUCCCAGGCCCACCAGCCUUCGCGCUUCGCUGCUUCGGCUAGGCAAGCCCUUCGAAAUGAAGGCUGCCA